RNAcentral lists this ribosomal RNA (1372 nucleotides) under uncultured bacterium. RNAcentral describes it as "bacterial SSU rRNA". It matches the Rfam family "Bacterial small subunit ribosomal RNA", at positions 28 to 1381 of the family's 1533-position model. The record is from RNAcentral.
GAUAAACGCUGGCGGCGUGCCUAAUACAUGCAAGUCGAGCGAACGGACGAGAAGCUUGCUUCUCUGAUGUUAGCGGCGGACGGGUGAGUAACACGUGGAUAACCUACCCAUAAGACUGGGAUAACUUCGGGAAACCGGAGCUAAUACCGGAUAAUAUUUUGAACCGCAUGGUUCAAAAGUGAAAGACGGUCUUGCUGUCACUUAUAGAUGGAUCCGCGCUGCAUUAGCUAGUUGGUAAGGUAACGGCUUACCAAGGCAACGAUGCAUAGCCGACCUGAGAGGGUGAUCGGCCACACUGGAACUGAGACACGGUCCAGACUCCUACGGGAGGCAGCAGUAGGGAAUCUUCCGCAAUGGGCGAAAGCCUGACGGAGCAACGCCGCGUGAGUGAUGAAGGUCUUCGGAUCGUAAAACUCUGUUAUUAGGGAAGAACAUAUGUGUAAGUAACUGUGCACAUCUUGACGGUACCUAAUCAGAAAGCCACGGCUAACUACGUGCCAGCAGCCGCGGUAAUACGUAGGUGGCAAGCGUUAUCCGGAAUUAUUGGGCGUAAAGCGCGCGUAGGCGGUUUUUUAAGUCUGAUGUGAAAGCCCACGGCUCAACCGUGGAGGGUCAUUGGAAACUGGAAAACUUGAGUGCAGAAGAGGAAAGUGGAAUUCCAUGUGUAGCGGUGAAAUGCGCAGAGAUAUGGAGGAACACCAGUGGCGAAGGCGACUUUCUGGUCUGUAACUGACGCUGAUGUGCGAAAGCGUGGGGAUCAAACAGGAUUAGAUACCCUGGUAGUCCACGCCGUAAACGAUGAGUGCUAAGUGUUAGGGGGUUUCCGCCCCUUAGUGCUGCAGCUAACGCAUUAAGCACUCCGCCUGGGGAGUACGACCGCAAGGUUGAAACUCAAAGGAAUUGACGGGGACCCGCACAAGCGGUGGAGCAUGUGGUUUAAUUCGAAGCAACGCGAAGAACCUUACCAAAUCUUGACAUCCUUUGACAACUCUAGAGAUAGAGCCUUCCCCUUCGGGGGACAAAGUGACAGGUGGUGCAUGGUUGUCGUCAGCUCGUGUCGUGAGAUGUUGGGUUAAGUCCCGCAACGAGCGCAACCCUUAAGCUUAGUUGCCAUCAUUAAGUUGGGCACUCUAAGUUGACUGCCGGUGACAAACCGGAGGAAGGUGGGGAUGACGUCAAAUCAUCAUGCCCCUUAUGAUUUGGGCUACACACGUGCUACAAUGGACAAUACAAAGGGCAGCGAAACCGCGAGGUCAAGCAAAUCCCAUAAAGUUGUUCUCAGUUCGGAUUGUAGUCUGCAACUCGACUACAUGAAGCUGGAAUCGCUAGUAAUCGUAGAUCAGCAUGCUACGGUGAAUACGUUCCCGGGUCU